Molecule: ribosomal RNA, 604 nt
Filed under: uncultured organism
Description: bacterial SSU rRNA
Rfam family: Bacterial small subunit ribosomal RNA
Source: RNAcentral
ACUCCUACGGGAGGCAGCAGUGGGGAAUUUUGGACAAUGGGCGAAAGCCUGAUCCAGCCAUGCCGCGUGAGUGAAGAAGGCCUUCGGGUUGUAAAGCUCUUUCAGGUGGAAAGAAAACGCAUAGGUUAAUACCUUGUGCGGAUGACGGUACCAUCAGAAGAAGCACCGGCUAACUACGUGCCAGCAGCCGCGGUAAUACGUAGGGUGCGAGCGUUAAUCGGAAUUACUGGGCGUAAAGCGUGCGCAGGCGGUUAUGUAAGACAGAUGUGAAAUCCCCGGGCUCAACCUGGGAACUGCGUUUGUGACUGCAUAACUAGAGUACGGCAGAGGGAGGUGGAAUUCCGCGUGUAGCAGUGAAAUGCGUAGAUAUGCGGAGGAACACCGAUGGCGAAGGCAGCCUCCUGGGCCAGUACUGACGCUCAUGCACGAAAGCGUGGGGAGCAAACAGGAUUAGAUACCCUGGUAGUCCACGCCCUAAACGAUGUCAACUAGUUGUUCGGUGAGGAGACUCAUUGAGUAACGCAGCUAACGCGUGAAGUUGACCGCCUGGGGAGUACGGCCGCAAGGUUAAAACUCAAAGGAAUUGACGGGGACCCGCACAAGC